UAACUGGGCACACUUGAACAACGUGACCAGCAGUUUUUCGGUUAAAAUUUGAAGUUUAAUUGAUUAAUUUAUGGAACAAAAGUAACACUCGCUAUGGACAUCAACAAGAUAAAGAAUAAUGUGGUAAAAAGUGUCGCCACUGGCGAGGAGGUUAAACUUGAAAGCUUCUGGGAGAAGCAGACCUGUGUGAUCUUGUUCAUGAGAAGGUUUGGAUGACCCACAUGUCGUCUCCACAUCAAGGAGAUUUCCACUAUUCAUCCACGCCUCGAGGCCAACAACAUCCGUUUUGUUGGAAUCGGCGUGGAGGAGCUAGGAGUGCAAGAGUUUGUCAAAGGAGGAUUUUUUAGUGGAGAAUUGUAUAUUGACACAAAAAAGCAGUGUUACAAAGAUUUAGGUUUCAGAAGAUUGAAUAUUUUCUCAGGAAUUGGAGCAAUAUUUGCUAAGACUACCAGAGAAGGCAUGGCAAAGGCAAAAGAACAGAAUAUUGAUGGAAACAUGAAAGGAGAUGGAUUUCAGAACGGAGGUGCUCUUAUUGUUAAAGCUGGUGGCUCUGAGGUAAUAUACAGUUAUAAGCAGGAGGACCCCAGUGUAUAUGUCAGUCCUAAUGAAAUCCUGAAGGCCCUGGGGCUGGAGGAACUGAAGGAGGCACCCCAGGGGGAGGAGGCCUCAGGGGGAGGAUGAUCCUAGUGGGCGCUUGUGUCGAGUCUCUCUGGAAAAUCCAUGGGGAUUCCAUAAGCUCAUAUGAGAAGUAUAGGAGUUUCUGAAGAGAUAGGGAAUUCUGAAAGCAUUUGUUUUUCAUCUGGAAAUCCCAUAUAUUUCACAUGCAGCAAUUAGUUAUAGAAAAACUGGGAGGCAAUUGGAAAAACCAGAAUAAAUGAAGCUUUUUCACUUUCAUUCUUCAUGAUGGUAUUGGUAAAAGAGAAAUUUUACAAGUUGAAAUUCACCAAGUUUCAUAUGCAUUGUGUAUUGGUUUAAAUAGAUAGAAACUAAAACUUUUCUAAUGUAUGCUGAAUAGCAGAGGUAAUUUUGUAUUCUAAAAAAAGAAGAAAAUGAAAUCUUACUUUUACUAUCUUUUCUAGAAUUCUGUUUGAAAUAUGAACUUAAUGUGUUAAGGAGAGGUUUCAAAUACAGCUUUGUGGGAAAAGUUGAACUUGUAAUAUUAGAGUGUAUGUAAAAUGUGUGCAUGCUCCAUGUGCCGAAAUUAAGAAUGUAUUUUGAUAGUUAUAUUUACCAUUAACAGAAUCAGGAUAACAAAAUGUGAUAUAUUUAGAAAUUGGUCAUUUGUUUUCAGAUGUUAUUUUGUUAUGUUUGAAGUUCAUAAUUUUUUAAACCUGUACCGCGGGUACAUUAAUAUAUACCAUUAGGGAAUUCACGUCAUAACAGCCAUGUACUGAUAUCGAGAUAAAUCUCCUGUGUGACAGACAAAUGAGAUUACUGACCUAUAACCCACAGUGUGGGAGGUUUUUAAUUGAGGAAUAUCUGUCUAGGAGUUUUAUCUCUGUUAUCAGUGCAUGGACAGAUAGUCCCAUACAAAAUACAUGUACAUCAACAUUCAACAAUGAUAGCAGACCCCGCCAAAUAUGUUUUUGUUUUACAUUAUAUUUUUUUUUAUUUAUAUGUAAAUCUUCAUAUAUUUUACUUACAUUUUAUAGUGUAUCAUCCUGUAUAGUCUCAUUCAGUUUAUAUCAUUCUUUGCCAUAUCAACGACAUUUUGUCCGAAUUCUGCAUAAUUUCCAAUAUAUGUCAUACUGACACGUGAUGUAUUACUGGUCAGUGACAUUCUAUUGAAAACAGAUCAAUUUCAUAGUUCUCAUGCAUAUGAAUUUCAUUUAUACCUCAGGGGUAAAGGAAAGAUAUAUUUGUUCACCUUGAUAGAAAAGUAGUUGAUCGUAUGAUGUCAUUUCCUCAAAAUUUAUUUUUAAAAGGUGGUUAUGAUGGAAUGAAAUCAUUUUACUUUUCUAACAAGAUGAAGUUUGUUCCGAAAAAUCUCAUCAUUAAAAUCAUUUCAUCUAUUGUGCAAAUCUAGUACAUUAUGUAAAAAUAUGUUUCAAGAAAGUAAAUACUUAAAUAUAUACAAUAUCAUGUUGAAAUAAAUUGUAAUUAAAGAAAUCACCAUGUU
Long non-coding RNA from Saccostrea cuccullata (small rock oyster), 2119 nucleotides. RefSeq lists it as uncharacterized. The transcript has 6 exons. Lineage: Eukaryota; Metazoa; Mollusca; Bivalvia; Ostreida; Ostreidae. The record is from RefSeq and is a predicted model, not a curated record.